Molecule: long non-coding RNA, 626 nt
Filed under: Homo sapiens (human)
Lineage: Eukaryota; Metazoa; Chordata; Mammalia; Primates; Hominidae
Description: HSALNT0294805
Source: RNAcentral
CUCCAUGGUCACAGGUUGCUGGGUGCUCCUUUUACGAUGUUUUCCCAGCAGCAUGCAGGCAGCAGUAGCUUCCUUUGAUCAUUUUUCAGUUUCUGUUAUUUGCUAGUGAGAGAAAGUUUAUACCUGCUUGUGGGGACAUGAGUGAAGAAAGAGAGGGGACUUUGAAACAAGAGAAGAGAGCAAACUCAAAAGGUUUUUCAUGGCAGCAUGUGACAAGAUGAUGCUGAAAAAUUUAUAUGGAAAUUCAAAGGAUCAAGAAUAGCUGAAACAUCACUGAAGAAGAACAAAGUGGGCUGAACUCGCUCUACUAGAUAUCAAGAUUUAUAAGCAACUACAGUAUUUAGGACAGUGUAGUAUCGGCACUGGGAGAGAAAAAAAAAAAAAAAAACUAAAAGGAAAAAGAGCCCAGAGACUGACUUUUGUGUAUGUGGACAGUUUGUUUAUGAUGAAAGUACCACUGCUAUGCACUGUGGGAAAAUGUCCUCAAAGAAUGACACUAGGGCAACUGGGUAUCCCCAUGUAAAAACAAUUAACCCUAAUCUCACAUCACACACAAAAAUCAACUCCAUUUGGGGUAUAUACUUAAAUGGAAGGUAAAACUAUUAAUAUAAAGUUUAUAGAGAAUA